UGAACCUUCUUACAGAAUCAAUGGAGAAGAGAAGACAAAAUCUCAAGCUCGUUCUGGACGAGGAAUUGGAGACCAAGAAAAUAGGGCUGCAUCAAGGUCUACAUCUGAGACCAAAACAGGAGGCAGCCCAAAGACAGACCCCAGGUCUACAUCUGACAUCAAAACAGGAGGUAGCCCAAAGUCAGACCCCAAGGCCAAAGAAACACCAAAAUCUGAAACUAAGGUGGAUGCCAGAAUCCGUGAGACACCAAAUUCCAAUGCCAAGGAGCGCACAGAAGCUGCAACGACAUCCACCUCUGAUCCCAAAGUAGGUGAUAAAAUGCCAGUGAAAUCA
Molecule: unclassified non-coding RNA, 334 nt
Filed under: Hevea brasiliensis (rubber tree)
Lineage: Eukaryota; Viridiplantae; Streptophyta; Magnoliopsida; Malpighiales; Euphorbiaceae
Source: RNAcentral